Molecule: unclassified non-coding RNA, 336 nt
Filed under: soil metagenome
Description: partial contains 5.8S ribosomal RNA, internal transcribed spacer 2, and large subunit ribosomal RNA
Rfam family: 5.8S ribosomal RNA (bases 1-120)
Source: RNAcentral
GAUGAAGAACGUAGCGAAAUGCGAUAAGUAAUGUGAAUUGCAGAAUUCAGUGAAUCAUCGAAUCUUUGAACGCACAUUGCGCCCGCCAGUAUUCUGGCGGGCAUGCCUGUUCGAGCGUCAUUUCAACCAUCAAGCCCCAGGCUUGUGUUGGGGACCUGCGGCUGCCGCAGGCCCUGAAAACCAGUGGCGGGCUCGCUGUCACACCGGGCGUAGUAGAUUUUAUCUCGCUCAGGGCGUGCUGCGGGUCCCGGCCGUUAAAAGCCUUUUUCUACCCAAGGUUGACCUCGGAUCAGGUAGGAAGACCCGCUGAACUUAAGCAUAUCAAUAAGCGGAGGA